GGCUAGAUAGCAAAGUGGUUUUGCAAAAGAUUGCAAAUCUUUUUACAUAGGUUCAAAUCCUAUUCUAGCUU
Molecule: transfer RNA, 71 nt
Filed under: Plocamium cartilagineum
Lineage: Eukaryota; Rhodophyta; Florideophyceae; Plocamiales; Plocamiaceae
Description: tRNA-Cys
Rfam family: tRNA
About the family: Transfer RNA (tRNA) molecules are approximately 80 nucleotides in length. Their secondary structure includes four short double-helical elements and three loops (D, anti-codon, and T loops).
Source: RNAcentral